GCCGGAGGGAAACCGAGUCUUAAUUGGGCGUUAAGUUGCAGGGUAUAGACCCGAAACCCGGUGAUCUAGCCAUGGGCAGGUUGAAGGUUGGGUAACACUAACUGGAGGACCGAACCGACUAAUGUUGAAAAAUUAGCGGAUGACCUGUGGCUGGGGGUGAAAGGCCAAUCAAACCGGGAGAUAGCUGGUUCUCCCCGAAAGCUAUUUAGGUAGCGCCUCGUGAAUUCAUCUCCGGGGGUAGAGCACUGUUUCGGCUAGGGGGCCAUCCCGGCUUACCAACCCGAUGCAAACUGCGAAUACCGGAGAAUGUUAUCACGGGAGACACACGGCGGGUGCUAACGUCCGUCGUGAAGAGGGAAACAACCCAGACCGCCAGCUAAGGUCCCAAAGUCAUGGUUAAGUGGGAAACGAUGUGGGAAGGCCCAGACAGCCAGGAUGUUGGCUUAGAAGCAGCCAUCAUUUAAAGAAAGCGUAAUAGCUCACUGGUCGAGUCGGCCUGCGCGGAAGAUGUAACGGGGCUAAACCAUGCACCGAAGCUGCGGCAGCGAACGUAUCACUUAAAGCGAUUCAGCGGGUUACGAUUGACGGAGCGAAGCGACGUCAAAGCGUAUACAAAGUCGAGUCGGUUUAAGGAUACGUUCGUUGGGUAGGGGAGCGUUCUGUAAGCCUGUGAAGGUGGCCUGUGAGGGUUGCUGGAGGUAUCAGAAGUGCGAAUGCUGACAUAAGUAACGAUAAAGCGGGUGAAAAGCCCGCUCGCCGGAAGACCAAGGGUUCCUGUCCAACGUUAAUCGGGGCAGGGUGAGUCGACCCCUAAGGCGAGGCCGAAAGGCGUAGUCGAUGGGAAACGGGUUAAUAUUCCCGUACUUGGUGUUACUGCGAAGGGGGGACGGAGAAGGCUAUGUUGGCCGGGCGACGGUUGUCCCGGUUUAAGCGUGUAGGUGUGUGUUCCAGGUAAAUCCGGUUCACUUUAACACUGAGGCGUGAUGACGAGGCACUACGGUGCUGAAGCAACAAAUGCCCUGCUUCCAGGAAAAGCCUCUAAGCAUCAGGUAACAUCAAAUCGUACCCCAAACCGACACAGGUGGUCAGGUAGAGAAUACCAAGGCGCUUGAGAGAACUCGGGUGAAGGAACUAGGCAAAAUGGUGCCGUAACUUCGGGAGAAGGCACGCUGACACGUAGGUGAAGUGAUUUACUCACGGAGCUGAAGUCAGUCGAAGAUACCAGCUGGCUGCAACUGUUUAUUAAAAACACAGCACUGUGCAAACACGAAAGUGGACGUAUACGGUGUGACGCCUGCCCGGUGCCGGAAGGUUAAUUGAUGGGGUCAGCGCAAGCGAAGCUCCUGAUCGAAGCCCCGGUAAACGGCGGCCGUAACUAUAACGGUCCUAAGGUAGCGAAAUUCCUUGUCGGGUAAGUUCCGACCUGCACGAAUGGCGUAAUGAUGGCCAGGCUGUCUCCACCCGAGACUCAGUGAAAUUGAACUCGCUGUGAAGAUGCAGUGUACCCGCGGCAAGACGGAAAGACCCCGUGAACCUUUACUAUAGCUUGACACUGAACAUUGAGCCUUGAUGUGUAGGAUAGGUGGGAGGCUUUGAAGUGUGGACGCCAGUCUGCAUGGAGCCGACCUUGAAAUACCACCCUUUAAUGUUUGAUGUUCUAACGUGGACCCGUUACCCGGGUUGCGGACAGUGUCUGGUGGGUAGUUUGACUGGGGCGGUCUCCUCCUAAAGAGUAACGGAGGAGCACGAAGGUUGGCUAAUCCUGGUCGGACAUCAGGAGGUUAGUGCAAUGGCAUAAGCCAGCUUGACUGCGAGCGUGACGGCGCGAGCAGGUGCGAAAGCAGGUCAUAGUGAUCCGGUGGUUCUGAAUGGAAGGGCCAUCGCUCAACGGAUAAAAGGUACUCCGGGGAUAACAGGCUGAUACCGCCCAAGAGUUCAUAUCGACGGCGGUGUUUGGCACCUCGAUGUCGGCUCAUCACAUCCUGGGGCUGAAGUAGGUCCCAAGGGUAUGGCUGUUCGCCAUUUAAAGUGGUACGCGAGCUGGGUUUAGAACGUCGUGAGACAGUUCGGUCCCUAUCUGCCGUGGGCGCUGGAGAACUGAGGGGGGCUGCUCCUAGUACGAGAGGACCGGAGUGGACGCAUCACUGGUGUUCGGGUUGUCAUGCCAAUGGCACUGCCCGGUAGCUAAAUGCGGAAGAGAUAAGUGCUGAAAGCAUCUAAGCACGAAACUUGCCCCGA
RNAcentral lists this ribosomal RNA (2238 nucleotides) under Salmonella enterica subsp. enterica serovar Enteritidis. Its description in RNAcentral is "partial 23S ribosomal RNA". It matches the Rfam family "Bacterial large subunit ribosomal RNA", at positions 665 to 2802 of the family's 2925-position model. The record is from RNAcentral. Lineage: Bacteria; Pseudomonadati; Pseudomonadota; Gammaproteobacteria; Enterobacterales; Enterobacteriaceae.